GAAAGAAAGAAAGAAAGAAAGAAGCUAAAAGAGGAUUUCAUGUCAGAAGUCUAAUUCACUCCUUAAAAGCUGUCAAACCAACUGAGAUACAGGAGGGAUGUCUUUAAAGAUGCCACGCUUAUAGAUUUAGCUCCUAUUGCCCAUCUACUUGACAAACGUUUUUGUUGUUUAAAGCAUUUAUUUUAUUUAAGAAAUUCCUAUGUAUAGGGAAAGUAAUCUUCUUUGUGGUCAUUUUCCCAAUUCCAUUCAACCCAUAUAAUUUACAAAAUACAAGACAUUGUCAAGCUUAUUCAACAUGGUUCCUCAUGCAUCCAAAUGCAUAUAUCCAAAAAAAGCUGGAUAUGACUACUACUACUUAUAGGCCCCAUCUUUUCCAAAGCUACAGCCUAGCUGCAGGAACAGAUCUAGAAAUUUAUGUUAGGGGGGCAAUAUAUAUGAACAUUUACACACGCAAACACACAUGAAUGUGUGCAUUCAUUUUAUAUAAUUACAAAAUGUUCAUAAUUAUUUUAUGUUCAAAAGUAAAAGCAAGCCUAAAAAUAAUAUUUUAUUACUUGUCACAUUUUUUUUAAAUAUUUUUAUAUUUUGAAUUUUUUAUUAAAAUACUUUGAUUAAUUUGCUUUCAAAUAUUAAAGGAGGACAAAUUUUAACUCAAGUGUUUACUCAAAUUUAAUCUCACUUUUACCUAUUAGAUUAAGGCUAUUUUUUUAAUUAGUAUUAUUAAAAUAUUACUUUUUAAUAUAGUAUUAAGUAUUAAUAAAUUAUUAUGGGUGAGAAUUGAAUUGUGUCCCAUUCCCUUUUCUGUAUUUUUAAUGUAAAUUAUUAAAUGAUCAUUUAAGAACUUUUCUAUAAAAAUAGCAAUACAAAAAUAAUAUUACAAAUUAAAAUUUGAUGAAUAUAUGAAAAAAAUUAAAAAUAUUAAUAAUCAAUUUAAAGCUAAACUUAGUAUGUAUAUCAUCAUUUAUUUUAAUUACUAAGAUAAAAAAUUAAGAUUAAAUGAAAAUAAAUUAACAAAUAAUAUGUAAUGGAUAGUUUUGUUUUAGUUUAAACAUUCAAAUAAUAAGUUUAUUUAAGUCAAAAUAUAUUGUUUAAUUUAAGUAAUAAUAAAUAAAAAUAAUCAAUGAAUAAUUUAAAUUUUUAAAUUUGUGGACAAAUUCAAAUUAUUAUGUGAAAAAAAUUAAGCAUGGGAUAAAUAUAAAUUCUUAAAUGUGGGGCAAACUUCAAUAAUUCAAGAGGGAAAAGUUUUUACUAUAUAUAAAUUAAAGGGUCUCUUUGGGGGCAGUGAGGGCAUGUGCCCCCAUUCUGGAUCCAUCCACACCUAGGUGAACAAUGUUUGUCUAUAGAACAUAAAGAAAUCUUGAGUGACAUUGUAUGUAAUCGUGAAUGCAGGAAAACUGAUUGAUAUUACAAAUGCAAAAUCAUAAUGACAGUAACUCUUUCUUUCCUUGCAUUGACUUGUAUUUCAUGAAUUUACAGAACGCAGCAAUAGAGGAUAUAGCAUCAUUAAUAUGUUAUACACAAAAUUUACAGAUAUUUUUUAAAAAUAAAGAUUUUUAUUCAUUGUAUUAUCUCAACAACCACCUCACUAAUAUCCUGGCUUCCUGAAUUAUCUAAUUUGAAUUUUCCCACAUCUCUUUCUUCUCUAAUAACUACCUAUUUCAUAUGCAGAUCUUAUAAAUACUUAAUUUAGGAAGCUAAUACAAACAUAACGUAAGUCAUACAACUAACAUAUACAAACAAGAACUUUAUAGCAUCAGUUUGUAUUCCAAUUUUUCAAAAAUUAAUUUUGACAGUAGAAGCUUGAAGGACAACCUAAAAUCGAAUUAUAAAACUUGCAACACUAAACUUUAUUUUCCUAUUUUGACCAAUGUUCAGAAUAAAUGCAAGAUAUAUCAUGACCAACGGAACUGUAACAACAUUGUGCUGAUGCAACUUACAUGUUUCAAAAGUGCAAUGAAAUCAAAUGCCAGAUUUAAAAGACAAAAUACUGGACUUCCCUUUUUCUUUUUUUUUUGUUGUUGGCUGUGCAACAUGCAAUGGGUGUUGCUCCAAUUCUUGAAACUUUACAAUAUUUGAUUAUGUCUUUAGAAGGGAAAGGGAGGGGAAAGUUGUGAGUUUACAAACAUUUGAGGAUUUGAAAGUGUGCCACAUUCCAGAUAGUGCAAACUAUAUCAGAGAAUCUAUUAAUUACCUAAAAGUUGAAUCCUACGGAUUUAUAUAGAAGUAAGAAAAGAUAGAGAAAUGACCUUUCAAAUCCUGCACUCUGUCCCUCAUUAAGUUCCAAAAUCUCAGUUCAAAAAGUACAGUAGAAAAUUAGAGCAGAAGGCAUACUCACUUUUUAUUCCAACCAAGGUAAUGAACAAAAUAUUUCCAUUCCUUCUUUCGGAGCUCAGCUUUUUGAACCUUGGCCUCAUAGAUGCGAGGACCGUGAUAAGCCAGGACGCGCUCUCCCUCGGAGAAGAGGCCGGAAUUGGAAGGAGGAGCAUCGCCGCUUGAGGCCUCGCCAUCGCUGCCGGAAUCGUCCUUGGAUGAGCUCCCCAUUUUGUUCACCGACGCUGAGAGAGAGAGAGAGAGAGACUUGGGGCUAAAUUCCAGUGGCUACGUCAGUCGUCAGGUAUGAAACUGGCAUCGUUCAUCCCAGAAUUUCUACUUUCUGCUUGCGAGUUUGAAAUAAAGCGGAAACUAUGAAACUAUAGCUUUU
This 2701-nucleotide unclassified non-coding RNA is filed under the name Hevea brasiliensis (rubber tree). The record is from RNAcentral. Lineage: Eukaryota; Viridiplantae; Streptophyta; Magnoliopsida; Malpighiales; Euphorbiaceae.